GAUGAACGCUGGCGGCGUGCCUCAAACAUGCAAGUCGAGCGGGGCUAUGUAAUAUCGCAAGGUAGAACAUAGCCUAGCGGCGAACGGGUGAGUAACACGUGGGUAACCUGCCUGGAAGACAGGGAUAACGAUUCGAAAGGGUCGCUAAUACCUGAUAAUAUCCUUUCAUCGCAUGGUGAUAGGAAGAAAGGGGAAACCCGCUUUCAGAUGGGCCCGCGUCCCAUCAGCUAGUUGGUAAGGUAAAGGCUUACCAAGGCGACGACGGGUAGCCGGUCUGAGAGGAUGUACGGCCACACUGGGACUGAGAUACGGCCCAGACUCCUACGGGAGGCAGCAGUUGGGAAUCUUCCGCAAUGGGCGCAAGCCUGACGGAGCGACGCCGCGUGAGGGAAGAAGGCCUUCGGUUGGUAACCUACUGUCAUGGGGAAGGAAGUAAGUAGACGGUACCCCAACGAGGAAGCCCCUGCUAACUACGUG
This 477-nucleotide ribosomal RNA is filed under the name uncultured bacterium. RNAcentral's name for it is "bacterial SSU rRNA". It matches the Rfam family "Bacterial small subunit ribosomal RNA", at positions 28 to 507 of the family's 1533-position model. The record is from RNAcentral.